CUCCCUGGGACACAGCGGGGGCUCCAGGGCUCCGCAUUUGCCCCUGCAUCAUGACUCCCUCCGUGGAUCCCUGGACCCCCAUCUCGAGCUCCUUCCGUGGUUCUCUGAGACAAUCCAGGGGAUGGAUGUCGAUCCGCCCAUCUGGCUGAGGGGAGACUGAGUUUCGGAGAAGGAGGAGCCUUGAGCCGACCCCGAGCAGAGCAGGGCGGUGAGUGGGGCUGGGCUGGAGGCGCUGAGCCAGGAGCCCUGUACUGGAGGCCGGGCAGAAGGUCAGCCAGGGGCCUACUGACCACCAGGACGUCUGCCAUCAUCCGCUGCCUCCGUGCCCCCGACCAUUGGGCCAUUCCUUGUCCCCAUCUGUGGGAGGGCCCCUGAGAGGCCCUGGAAGAUCCCAGGCCAGCUUUCAGCAGGUGGAUGGAGCAGGCAGGCCACAUCAGGCACCAAGGCGGCCCCGUUCAUCCCCAUGAGGGCUUCGGUCCAGCUCAUCAGCGGGGAAGGUCAACACCCAUCGCCUCCAGGACCCGAGCCCCUGACGGGUUCUGAACAGGCCCUGGGCUCUGCUGACCUGGGGCCUCUCCCUGCUCCUCCCGCCGUAGUCAGUUCGCCACAUCCCAUCAGGACCGGAGGAGAUGGAGAGAGGUGCCGAGCAUCCUUCUCCAAUGUGGCUGCCUCCACCUCACCUCUGCAGAGAGACACGUCCCUCCUACCUGGGACACGGACGUGGAAGAAAUACCCCCAGGCCGGGAUACCUGCCCAGAUGCCCCAACUCGCUAUCCCAGGCCAGAUCAGGAUCCACCUUCUCCGAUCCUUGGAGCCACGAAUCAGGCUGUCGGCAAGGGUUUUGGAGGACUUCUUGCUCUCAAGUUCGAGGAGUAAUGGAUGGUGGGAAGACCUUAAGAAUCAGACACUGAAUUCACAGCACAGGUGGUCUACCUGGAGAGACAAAAAUACUUAAUUAAAAAAUACCCCCAAAUUCCCUUUUCCUAUUGCCAGGAAAAACCCACAAGAGAAUGCCCAUUAUCGGAGAUUCUUUUGGUCAGAAACAUUUGUCAUCGCUAGUCUAUUGAGGAACAUGCUGAGUGUUGUCCGUAUGCUAUUCCAGACUUCCCAUUUUGUCCACGUGUAAUCGGAACUUUGGCCAUUCCUUUCCUAGUGACUCAGCACGAGAGAAGCCAUCAAUUUCAGGUUUAAAAUUAACUGCAAAAUGUAAGAGACAGUUCAGCCUAGGGAGAGGUAAGCAGUAAGCUCAUUCUGCAACCUUAAAAGCAUUUUGGAAUGAAAAAUCAUACUUGGAAGGCUGGAAACUGGAGGAAAAUUCUGCCAAGUUUGUUGUAAAAAAACCCCUCAUUAUGUAUCUUGAAACUCUUUAGGAAUAUUUUAUCAAAUGAUCCAUUCCCAGUGAUGUUAUUUUGGGAUCCAUUUUAUACCAGCUGACACGUUUCUAUUUAGUAUUUCACUGACUUUGAAAAUCUCAGCACCUCAAUUACAGUUUCUAAUGAAAGAAGGGAGCAGGUCUGCAAGUGGAGCCUGAUUGGUAUAUUCAGUUCUACACCCGUCUCAUUCUUGCCUUAGACGAUGGGUGAAAAUGUUGCAGGAGUUAUUUAUUUGUUUUGGAAGAAAAGAAAAGGUCAAUGGGGGUGUGGUGGCUCUCAGGUGAGUUGACUCUACGUCUGUCUUCUUCUUGGACAUUCCUGUAGAAGCUGGUCCCUGGAUACUGGCCUGGCUCAUGGAGAUGGCUUGUGAGCUUGGCUGAUCUGCUUUAGAUGAAAGCCCCACAGUCUAAGAGGUCCUGUGGUCCCUCCCACAGAUGGCAAGAGCAAGCCUCCAGUGGGUGAGCCCACCUGGAGAUGCUUCUGUGAAGGCUGAUGUCUCUUCAUGAUGCUGUGGGCUCCUUAGGAGUUGAUUCCCACCAAGAGCAGAUAAGGAAGGACCCGUUUUAAGAAGGGGGUUCACCUACAUCAUGUGCCUUCAGGCGGGGACUUCUUUCCCCAAAUAACUCCACAGUUAACCCAACUCAGGCAUCUCUAAUGAUUCCCUUUGGGCUGAGGCAGUGUAUUCUCCUAGAGACCUCCAUGACAACCACUUCUGAAACACCAUUCAAGGAGACCCCGACACGCUAACAUCACCUCCACGUUGGGUUGGCAGGAUCCAUCCUGGUUCAGGUGUUUCUGCGUGGUUAUGAUUCCCAAAUUAGGUUUGUAAGUGAUGACUUAUGAAUACCUCAAUGAGGUUAAAAUUGUAACUGGGUGCGCUGGAGAAUUAAAAUGUGAAAGGAAUGUUUUGUAUUAGUAAACCAUCCACAGCUAAUAACUUCUGUCUCCAACCAAUUUUCCCCAAUGUAUGGGGAGCUGCCACCACCACCAUCAUCAAUAUCACCGUCACCUUCAUCAUCACCAUCCCCACCAUCAGCAUCACUAUCACCUUUGUCAUCACCAUCACCAGUAUCACCGUCAUCAUCGUCAUCACCACUGCCGCCACCAUCAGCAUCACCUUCAUCACUACACCGUCAGCAUCACCAUAACUUUCAUCAUUAUUGCUUCAUUCGCAAUCUGAAUCAACAACCAUUACUCUGAGUUGGAGGAUAUAGGAAAAGGCUUUUGUAAAGCAGACUUCAAACAAAAAAAAUAUACACUCGUAACAAAUCAACCAGUGGACUUCUUAGAAGUAAUUUCCAAAUCAGUGCAGACUUUAAGCAUCCUAACUCCUUUUUAUUAUGAAGAUUCUGCAGGCUACUUAUAGGAAGGGACAGGAACAUGAGGCCUGGAAAUGGCUCUAGGUAAUGGGGAAUACUUUGAAAUAAAUUGGUGCUAGGUUUGACAUAUUCUGAAUUUUAUCCGUUCACAGUGGAGGAGAGAAAAGUGAAUCACCUGCAGAGAAAACAAAUAUAAAUUUCCAGAGGAUUUUUUCCUUUAAAUGGUGCCACUCAGAUGUGGUGCAAUCCUGCCAUGUUGUCGCAGGGCCUGUGAAGCCAAAUCAAAAGAGGGGGUCAAUUUUCACCUCUGUUAAUACUCGUGCAUCCAUCAUUGUUCUUUCUCUUCAGAAAAUAGAGAAUUUAAAGGUUAUUAGAAAACUCUGCCAUGUACUGUGCUGUCCAGGGAAAGCAGGCAGCCACUAAGGGGGAGAGAAAUAAAACUGGCAGACGCAAGGAGGCCUGUGGAAGGAGGCAGAGUGUGUGAUUACGUUGGAAUAGCUCCUGCGACAUCAAACAUGUGAAGUCUCGAGAUGAUUCCACCCCUCAGCAAUUUGAAUCACCCCCAGCACUUCCGCCCUUCCUAAAGGAGGCCGUCAAACACCGUGGAGCUGUGCCCUCCCUGAAUUCCUGACCCGCUGAACCAGCGAGCAGAAUCUACUGAACUCGGUUUGGGUCACGGCGUGCUGGGUGAUCCCCUGACGCUGCGUAAAUUGCACUGAGGCUGCCUGUGAGCAUGGAGACGUCACAGGCUGAAGCCAGCUGAAAUCGAUUGCCUCUUUAUCAUUUAUCUUUCCCUGAAAGGCAAAGAAAAAGAAACACAGCGUGUAUGAUUGUUCAAGUUUGGCAGAAAAGGAUACGUAAUUGAAAUGAAGAUCUUUGAUUUUUUGGAAACUUCAAAUGAAUAGCGUGAUCUGAACUUGCUUUUUUGUGCCUGCCCUUUUCCUUCACAUUACGAGCUCCAAACGUUAGCUCUCGUUUAACUUUUUGUUCCUUCCUAAGUACUGGCUCUAAUUCCUGGGUGGCCCCAUUGUCUCCUAAAGACAUUUGACUGUGAUACAUUCAAGGUCACUGACGAUGUUUUAAAUAUUUUCGUAGACAUUGCUUUGGUUCGGGCAAGAUUUGGAAUCCAUAAAUACAUUCUUUGAUGCACUCUCCUACUGUUUACAUAUUUCUAUUAAAAACAGCGAUUUUCCUUCUGCUUUAGAGCUAUGUUCACGCCCUUAUUUGCCUCAUAGUUUGCUGUCACAACACAAAAACUUGUUUGAAAGGAAGAAUAAUUCAUACCUGCGUCCUCAGUGGCCCCUGAAUGAGUGCUUUCCAUCAGUGGCUGUAUCGGCUCUUAGCGGAGAAAUCUGCUUUUAGCCAGAGGCACACAGUCCCUGCCGGACCUAUCACUGUGUGUGUAUUGUAGGAGAAACAAGGACCUUCAAACAUUCCCAUCUUCCCCAUCAGUGGUUCCCAUAAGCCGAAGUCACAAGGACCAGGCUUGUCUUGAGAGAAAGAUAAGGCAGGGUUUUGGCAAAGAAUGCAAAAUCACUUUUUCACCGAAGCCGGAACGUGCCUUACAGUGAGGAAUGGCGGCUCACUGCGUUGUGUAGUUGUGAGUGUGUAAUAAUAAAAGGAGCCCUACAGCAUCCGUCCGUAAGGCACUUUUUAAUUUAUUUUUUUUGUCCUGGAUGCACAAUCACCCACAGCAAGAGGCGUGCCAUUCUCACACGCGGGCCGACCUGCGCUCCUGGACGCGGUCGGGCGCGUCUCGAGGACCCGCCUGUGGCUG
Equus caballus (horse) is the source of this 4469-nucleotide long non-coding RNA. The record is from Ensembl. Lineage: Eukaryota; Metazoa; Chordata; Mammalia; Perissodactyla; Equidae.